RNAcentral lists this ribosomal RNA (119 nucleotides) under Pteropus alecto (black flying fox). Lineage: Eukaryota; Metazoa; Chordata; Mammalia; Chiroptera; Pteropodidae. The record is from RNAcentral.
GUCUAUGGCCAUGCUACUCUGAACAAGCCGGAUCCCGUCUGAUCUCGGAAGCUAAGCAGGGUCGGGCCUGGUUAGUACUUGGAUGGGAGACCACCCAGGAAGACCAGGUGCUGGAGGCG